UUACGGCAAUAUCAUGUUGAAACAACCGUUCUCGCCUGAACACCGAAGUUAAGCGACGUCGAGCCUAGUGAAUGGGUGACCACUUGGGAAUACCAGGUGCUAUA
Molecule: non-coding RNA, 104 nt
Organism: Acanthosepion pharaonis
Lineage: Eukaryota; Metazoa; Mollusca; Cephalopoda; Sepiida; Sepiidae
Source: the annotation of a GenBank genome assembly